GACGAACGCUGGCGGCGUGCCUAAUACAUGCAAGUUGAGCGCUGAAGGUUGGUACUUGUACCAACUGGAUGAGCAGCGAACGGGUGAGUAACGCGUGGGGAAUCUGCCUUUGAGCGGGGGACCACAUUUGGAAACGAAUGCUAAUACCGCAUAAAAACUUUAAACACAAGUUUUAAGUUUGAAAGAUGCAAUUGCAUCACUCAAAGAUGAUCCCGCGUUGUAUUAGCUAGUUGGUGAGGUAAAGGCUCACCAAGGCGACGAUACAUAGCCGACCUGAGAGGGUGAUCGGCCACAUUGGGACUGAGACACGGCCCAAACUCCUGCGGGAGGCAGCAGUAGGGAAUCUUCGGCAAUGGACGAAAGUCUGACCGAGCAACGCCGCGUGAGUGAAGAAGGUUUUCGAAUCGUAAAACUCUGUUGGUAGAGAAGAACGUUGGUGAGAGUGGAAAGCUCAUCAAGUGACGGUAACUACCCAGAAAGGGACGGCUAACUACGUG
This 497-nucleotide ribosomal RNA is filed under the name uncultured bacterium. RNAcentral describes it as "partial 16S ribosomal RNA". It matches the Rfam family "Bacterial small subunit ribosomal RNA", at positions 28 to 507 of the family's 1533-position model. The record is from RNAcentral.